This 252-nucleotide ribosomal RNA is filed under the name uncultured microorganism. RNAcentral's name for it is "partial 16S ribosomal RNA". It matches the Rfam family "Bacterial small subunit ribosomal RNA", at positions 524 to 776 of the family's 1533-position model. The record is from RNAcentral.
UACGUAGGUCCCGAGCGUUGUCCGGAUUUAUUGGGCGUAAAGCGAGCGCAGGUGGUUUAAUAAGUCUGAUGUAAAAGGCAGUGGCUCAACCAUUGUGUGCAUUGGAAACUGUUAGACUUGAGUGCAGUAGAGGAGAGUGGAAUUCCAUGUGUAGCGGUGAAAUGCGUAGAUAUAUGGAGGAACACCGGUGGCGAAAGCGGCUCUCUGGACUGACACUGACACUGAGGUGCGAAAGCGUGGGUAGCAAACAGG